UUCUAGCUCUGUAUCACCAACCAAAAUACAGGCCUCUCCCAAUGUCAAGUUAAGGCCACUUUGAUACAUUCAUUUUGCAUAAUGACAGUAAGAUAACUACACAAUUGCAAAUUACACAACAUGAAAACCGGAGGGAAGAAAGCAGAGUCAAGUUUGAUCUAAAACAAUAAUAAUACACAUUUUUCAAAAAAGGGUAACGUAUGUAGAUUUUGAUAAAAUGUACAAGCAUUUUAAUUAUAACUAAUAAACUUGAUUAAAUAUGCAUAAAAGCAAAAUUUCCAUAUCCAUUUAUCAAAGGUCAUUAAGCAGGCACUAUUACCCAGAUCAACUAAUAGUAGGGAGUGUAUAGAUUUUCAUAAUAUUUCUUUCCUUUUGGAGUAUUUGGAGCCAUUUAGAUUUGCCACUGCUUCAUUAAAGCUGCUAACACCAAACCAACUUUUACAUGUGCAGACAGCUUGUCAAUGUAUAGUUAAUUCAAUGUGUACUUCAGCUCUACUACCUCCAUCGCGCUGACUAGCCUUCAGUAUCAUUAAAAUGGGACGUUUUUCCUGCUACAUCAGAAACCAACUAAAAUAAACUUUUUACCUCAUUAUUUCCACUUGGACACAUCGCAACAUGGGAACUGUAGCAGCUUUCAUUAAUAUUGAAAGGAGCCGCUCCCUUUGGCUAAAACCUGACGCAAAUGGUUGUUGUGUAGCAGGAACAUUACAUGGCUUAUGAUGACAUCGUAUUCAAUCAAUAUUUCUAUCAAUCACAUUUAUCUUAUAAAGCCCUUUUUACAUCAGCAUUUGUUACUAAGUGAUUGUUCGGAUACUCAGCCUAAGACCCCAAAGAGCAAGCACAGUAACUUUCUUCUAUAACACCCUAACAAAACUCCACACCCCAUGAUAGAUCACUAUGAUUAGAUUAUGAAAACCCUAUUUAUACCAUUACAACCGAUAUCAUUACCACAGACAUUUCUACCACCAGCACUGACCCCACACAACCAUAAACAGGUGAAAACAAGCAAGCACACCACAUUGAUUUCAGCCUUUCUAGUUCCACGGCUUCAUAAUAAUCCAACCCUUCGUUCUUUUUCAGGGCCCCCCCCCCCAAGUUCAUUCGGAAAAGAAAAUAUAAAUAGUUUGCACGUUAACAGGUGGGUGAGCUGAAUUGCCACCAUAUCACUGUCAGGUCACAAGACGCUGGGCUCAAUGUCUAUGAACCAAAGGAAUUCCAUCAUACCAUAGGAGUCUGAAAUCUCCAAUCCAGUUCGAGCUCGACAUCACAUGACUCCGGUGCCGCCGCCAACUUGACCCCGGCCCCCUUUGUUGUUCAGACCCGCAGUUUUUCGCCCAAAGGUCUAGUUGUGACAGUGGCUUUUAAUGAGAAUCCAGUUGGCCUUCCCUCCCUAGGACCCCUCAUUAAUGUUGGCCUCCGUGUCAGAGGGUGGGGGGCUGCGGCGGGGGCAGGCUCUCGUGGUAUCACUGCUCUGUGGAGAGCCGGGCCUGAUCCCAGCCACGAGGAGCCCGCAGGCGGAGAGACCGGUUUAAUAUUCCGCUCUGCGACGUGUCGGCUUUCCAAUUCACCACGAUUGCAUUAUUAAACUUACAUAAGCUCAUUUCCAUACAAAGCAGGGGACCAGCGGAAGAGAGUCAUACAUAUUUAUCGGCGUGUGCCUGACUAACGCACGGACACACUCGCGCCGGCAUAACUUAGCCGUGGUACAUAAGUGAGGGGUGGAAACCGGGUGCGUUCCUUAUGUUCUGAGCGUGAGCAGUAUUGAGCGGGGACGGUCAGCGAGAGCCACCCAUCAAUCACCCGACCAGCCCGAGACUUAGACGGUUUCUCACACUCACGCACAGGCAGCAUUCGAACGAGUUCAUCGCGAGGAAAGGCGACGCGUACCGAGCUCUGAGAGGUUUACGACCAAUGAUCUACACGCGCCAAGCACACACAGCCCUGCCAAAACUCCACUUGUCCAUGUUGACUGGUCCCUUCCACGGUGGAUAUUUCCAUCCACUAUAGCAUCCACUGCCCUGCCUGUUUUGCCUCUCCCUGCUGCCCAACUGUCUUCUCCUACUCCACUCGUUCCUGGUCAGUUCUCCUCCCUACAUUCCCGACCCCCUUUUCUUCCUCACCCACCUUCAGAUGAGGACUUUCCUCUUCCUUUGAGAUUGCUGUUGUGUCUUAUGGCUUUUUAUUCCUACGUGAUGGUAGAUGUGUUCAUGUAGGGAUAGAAGCCACUAAACACACAGUGAGAGGUCAACGUGCAGGCCAGUUGAGCCAAGGCUCCCUUUUUCAAUAUGAAACCAUAAAAUACAACAUGCGCGUAUGCAACAUAGACUCUUCAGAUCCACUUUGCAAGUAGCUAUUUUACUGUGGAAUUAUAUUCAACAAGUUCCACACAUAUUUAUACAGCGAUGUCCAUUACAUGAGAAUAGUGGCAAACCAAAACAGGAACAAAUGUCAAAUGUCGCAGUCAGUAACAAAGGAAGCAAUCAUUUCCAGAGAAAAAGAACCAUCUUCAUAAAGAGGAUGGUAAGAUACUUCUCUAUAGGUUCUCUAUGUCCAUGGAUACUGAGGUAAGUGGCGUUCCAAAUUUCCAACCCAAAACACGCUGCACAUUUGAAAUCCUGAUAUCUGAAACGUUAAAUGUUAUUCUAUGUGCUUUAUUAUGAUGACAAAUAAAACACAUUGGUAGCCGCUGUCAUAGCUGGAGUGCAGUACCCUCAGUAAUGUACAAGAAUGUUCACACGAUUCAUCUACAUCAUUCACAACACAUGAUAGGAGCAUCAAUUAUUGACAGUGUUUUCUGUAGACCUCAGUGCUUUCUGGGAGAAUGUUGGAAUAGAUUAUUGCCAAUGGAUUCACUGCCUCAGGGUGUGUGUGGUUUUCUGUUUUCCUAAGUCGAAUUGGCGCAUGAAUAUGAAGUGUGUUUGUAUGUUCAUACAUGCAUCUCAGUCUUUUAAUCCGUCUCCAUCUGCUUCUGGCUUUGACUGUCCUGUAAUAAAUAAUGCUCUUUUGUGUUGUUGCUUUCUUUCAUUUGUUUUCUUUAUAUUGUCAAUGGUGCUGAUCGUUGAAUAAAUUAUACAUUCUCACCAA
Molecule: long non-coding RNA, 3084 nt
Organism: Esox lucius (northern pike)
Lineage: Eukaryota; Metazoa; Chordata; Actinopteri; Esociformes; Esocidae
Exons: 2
Source: RefSeq, a predicted model, not a curated record